RNAcentral lists this transfer RNA (81 nucleotides) under Euphorbia neorubella. RNAcentral's name for it is "tRNA-Leu". The record is from RNAcentral. Lineage: Eukaryota; Viridiplantae; Streptophyta; Magnoliopsida; Malpighiales; Euphorbiaceae.
GCAGUAAACCUUUCCCCAAAGACACGCGAGACUCAAAAUCUCGUGCUAAAGAGCGUGGAGGUUCGAGUCCUCUUCAAGGCA